AUGGGGCUGAUGCAAAUCCGGCAUGGUCUCCACGUGUGCUCUGAGCUCUCUUUUUGGGAUGUGCGUCCACUGAGCAGCCUGGUCAGCUGCCUUCUCUCACAGGGCUCCUUGGUCUCACCUUGUAGUGGAGUGUGCUGUUGCAGGGUAACAUCUGGACUGAGCUCCUGGACCCUUGGAUGCUCGGCUGCAAGUUCCUGGAUCGACUUGGAGAAAACACCCUCCUCUGGCACACCCUCCUCCAGGAGCCAUGGAGAUGGCAACUGUGACUCCAGACACGGCCUUCCUGACCCCAACUGUCUUACAGUCGGGGACCUGCUGAAUGUGCCUCCUGAGAGCUGCUCUUUUCUACCAUCAGAGCCCAACUUAUGGGCUCACAAGCUUCCUGAAGUGGCUAAACAGAUAACCUCCACAGUUUCCAUCUUAAAUGCACGGAAAAUAUGGAAUCCUGACAAUUUCAGGACAGAACGAGUCCCAAGUGUCAAUUUCAGAGUUCAAAAGCCAGAGAAGAAAGCUGCAUCUUCUCCCCCGGAUGUGCAGUUAACUUUGACUCUGGCAGAGAUGGUAUUUUGACUGGGAGCACCCGGAGACCUCGCCCUGAACACAGCAAGGCUUAACUCGCAGUUCCUGGGCCAGCUUUUAUCUGGGGGUUCUAAUCCAGAACUGAUGCCAGCUUCUUUUUCUCAAAGGCAAAAGUGUGGUUUUUUGAUGAUAAAAUACAAAAUGAUCAUUACUGGAAGUGUUAUAAUAAUAGAAGAAUAAGCUUAAUAUUCUAACCGAACCCAGCCGCAUUUAGAAUAAGCAAUAUUCUAACCGAACCCAGCCGUUUAGAAUAAGCUUAAGAUUCUAACCGAACCCAGCAUUUAGAAUAAGCUUAAGAUUCUAACCGAACCAGCCGCAUUUAGAAUAAGCUUAAGAUUCUAACGAACCCAGCCGCAUUUAGAAUAAGCUUAAUACUCUAACCGAACCCAG
This 969-nucleotide long non-coding RNA is filed under the name Bos grunniens (domestic yak). RNAcentral's name for it is "lncRNA (ENSBGRG00000004599.1)". Lineage: Eukaryota; Metazoa; Chordata; Mammalia; Artiodactyla; Bovidae. The record is from RNAcentral.